UCGAGCGGCGAACGGGUGAGUAACACGUGAGUAAUCUGCCCCUGGNUUCGGAUANCACCGGAAACGGUGAUUAAUACCGGAUAUGACAGACCCUCGCAUGGGGGUGUGUGGAAAGUUUUUCGGCCAGGGAUGUGCUCGCGGCCUAUCAGCUUGAUGGUGAGGUAAUGGCUCACCAUGGCUUCGACGGGUAGCCGGCCUGAGAGGGUGACCGGUCACACUGGGACUGAGACACGGCCCAGACUCAUACGGGAGGCAGCAGUGGGGAAUAUUGGACAAUGGGCGGAAGCCUGAUCCAGCAACGCCGCGUGAGGGAUGACGGCCUUCGGGUUGUAAACCUCUUUCAGUACCGACGAAGCGCAAGUGACGGUAGGUACAGAAGAAGCACCGGCCAACUACGUGCCAGCAGCCGCGGUAAUACGUAGGGUGCGAGCGUUGUCCGGAAUUAUUGGGCGUAAAGGGCUCGUAGGCGGUUUGUCGCGUCGGGAGUGAAAACGCCGUGCUUAACACGGCGCUUGCUUCCGAUACGGGCAGACUAGAGGUAUUCAGGGGAGAACGGAAUUCCUGGUGUAGCGGUGAAAUGCGCAGAUAUCAGGAGGAACACCGGUGGCGAAGGCGGUUCUCUGGGAAUGACCUGACGCUGAGGAGCGAAAGUGUGGGGAGCGAACAGGAUUA
This 672-nucleotide ribosomal RNA is filed under the name Nocardioides sp. B33. Its description in RNAcentral is "bacterial SSU rRNA". It matches the Rfam family "Bacterial small subunit ribosomal RNA", at positions 91 to 780 of the family's 1533-position model. The record is from RNAcentral. Lineage: Bacteria; Bacillati; Actinomycetota; Actinomycetes; Propionibacteriales; Nocardioidaceae.